UCUGCGUGGAGCCGCCCUUGAAAUACCACCCUUUAAUGGCUGGUGUUCUAACGUAGACCCGUAAUCCGGGUUGCGGACAGUGUCUGGUGGGUAGUUUGACUGGGGCGGUCUCCUCCCAAAGAGUAACGGAGGAGCACGAAGGUUGGCUAAUCCUGGUCGGACAUCAGGAGGUUAGUGCAAUGGCAUAAGCCAGCUUGACUGCGAGCGUGACGGCGCGAGCAGGUGCGAAAGCAGGUCAUAGUGAUCCGGUGGUUCUGAAUGGAAGGGCCAUCGCUCAACGGAUAAAAGGUACUCCGGGGAUAACAGGCUGAUACCGCCCAAGAGUUCAUAUCGACGGCGGUGUUUGGCACCUCGAUGUCGGCUCAUCACAUCCUGGGGCUGAAGUAGGUCCCAAGGGUAUGGCUGUUCGCCAUUUAAAGUGGUACGCGAGCUGGGUUUAGAACGUCGUGAGACAGUUCGGUCCCUAUCUGCCGUGGGCGCUGGAGAAUUGAGGGGGGCUGCUCCUAGUACGAGAGGACCGGAGUGGACGCAUCACUGGUGUUCGGGUUGUCAUGCCAAUGGCACUGCCCGGUAGCUAAAUGCGGAAGAGAUAAGUGCUGAAAGCAUCUAAGCACGAAACUUGCCCCGAGAUGAGUUCUCCCUGAGACUUUAAGUCUCCUGAAGGAACGUUGAAGACGACGACGUUGAUAGGUCGGGUGUGUAAGCGCAGCGAUGCGUUGAGCUAACCGAUACUAAUGAACCGUGAGGCUUAACCUUACAA
Molecule: ribosomal RNA, 760 nt
Filed under: Enterobacter hormaechei
Lineage: Bacteria; Pseudomonadati; Pseudomonadota; Gammaproteobacteria; Enterobacterales; Enterobacteriaceae
Description: partial 23S ribosomal RNA
Rfam family: Bacterial large subunit ribosomal RNA
Source: RNAcentral